Helianthus annuus (common sunflower) is the source of this 998-nucleotide long non-coding RNA. RefSeq lists it as uncharacterized. The transcript is spliced from 4 exons. Lineage: Eukaryota; Viridiplantae; Streptophyta; Magnoliopsida; Asterales; Asteraceae. The record is from RefSeq and is a predicted model, not a curated record.
CUUUUGGAUUUGGAUCAAUCAUGAUGGAUCCUUUAUAUAUGUCUUUUUUUCUAAUUCUUCUUCCAUACUCUUCAACAAUCUUCACAACCCUAAAACCAAACCCUAGAUCAACUCAACCUUUCUGGACGUCACAGCGAUUUCUCAUCUCUCUAAUCAGAUCUUCUUCCGCUAUUGAAGAUUCAUGUUAGCAAGAAGUAUUUUGAUGAUAGCACCGAAAAAAUUCUACCUGCACGUCUAUUAUAUAUGUAGUACUACAGAUUCGAUUCUGGCAUAAAUGUCCGAUUGAUGUUAACUUUUUUUGUAUUCUUAUUAAUUUUAUGGAAAUUGGUUGAUUAGAUCCGUGAUGACUGAAUGUUAAUUUUAGUGUAAAAUGUUUGAAAAUGUUUUAGUUUUUGGAUUGCACGCAAGGUGUUUGAUGAAAUGCUUGAAUGGGAUAACGGGUUUUUUUUCAUAAUUUAUGAGUUUAUAUUGAUGGUUCUCUAUGUUUGUGGUGAUUUAGUAGAGUUUUUGAUGCACUUUUUAUAGAUGAAUUCAUGUAUGUUUUGCUUAGAUCUAAAAGAUUUUAUAUUGAAGCGUCACAUUGAGUUUCAGAGACAUGGCUUCUGGAUCUUAUCAAAGAAAUUAAAGAUCUGAUUUCGGACUCCGAUAAUUCGUCAAUCAAAAGAGGUUAGUUAAGUGUUAUAGUUAUUUUAUCCUUUUUAAGUAUGUAAUAUGUAAUUUUAUCCUUUAUGUUCAUUAUUUUUUUACCUAUUAAUAUAUGUUCUGAAUGAUUUAUGGUUUGUAUUUUCUCAUGGUGAACCCUCAAUCUUUUUUGAAAUUCGGACUCGGAUUGUUAGUCUACCAAAAUAAGUUAUGUUGUUCUGAAUUUUGUAGAUCCGAUCAUAAAAUUGAAGGUAUGUUGUUUUAGUUUGUUGUUUAUCUACCGUGCAUCUUUAAUCUAAGCGAUUGAACAUUUAUAUUUUUUUGCAAACAAUAUCAAGAUCAGAGGUUUUGUUAUC